GAAGAACAAAAGCUUUCAGGAAAACAAAGCCCAACCCCUUAAUGAAACAGGAAAGGAUAUACAGUUUCAAAUGCUUGCUUUCCUUGCUUUCUGAGAAGAAAGAUGCCUUGCCUGUUGAAGGUGGCAGAUGCAGGUUGCUCUAUGGGCCUCGGGAAGGGUCACUGCAGCUGUCACCUGCCCACCCACGUGUCCUGAGGCACUGUGACAUCUUGACAGGUGUCCCGACUCUUGGCCUUGACAUGUCCUGUCAGGCCUGCCUGUCAGCUGGGACUGGGCUUGGGGAAGAGCCUGCGGGCCUGGGGCCUGGUAGCACUUGCUUAGUUAAACAUCUGUGGCUGCUAUUGCCCUGUCACAGGCCAGCAAGUCAGAACUACUCAGAUUCACUUCACAGCGAUAGUCCUUCAGUCUUCUGAUUAUGUGGCUCUGCAGCAGGGAGAGGGAGACAUUCAUGAGCAAGUGUGCAAAAUGCAUUUAAUGCCUACCAGUGGUGUACAGCCAUCCAUUGCUUCGGUCUGCCCAGUGUCUGUCUCCCUGUCUUUUGAUACGAGGGGCCAGAGUUUCUCUGGGGAAUUCCUUUCAGUUUCUGCAGUUCUGGGACAGUUACCCUUCACCCAGUACUAUGUCAAUAUGGGCACAUGACUCAAGCCAGCCAGAGUUCACUUUCUCUAGACUUAAUCACUCAGAGGGAGCUAUCCCUUAAGCCACAGUGAUUGGUUCAGAAAUGGGCACAUGAUCAAACUAGACCAAUGAGUCUCAGUUCUGAGAUUUUGAGUUAAGACCGCUUGGAAAAAGAACUGUUUAUGGAAAUAGAAGCUGGAGUGAUGAAA
Mandrillus leucophaeus (drill) is the source of this 827-nucleotide RNA transcript. RefSeq lists it as uncharacterized. The record is from RefSeq and is a predicted model, not a curated record. NCBI's taxonomy places the organism in Eukaryota, Metazoa, Chordata, Mammalia, Primates, Cercopithecidae. The transcript has a single exon.